CUUUGCAGUCGUGCAAUUCAGAUUUAGCUUUUUGCAUUUUCGGGAGUUGCUGAUCAUAGUAAUUUCACUGUUUUAUGCUUUAUCCUGAAGGCAUCAACAGUACAUUGGAAAAGUGAAGAAUGCAGUUUUUCAAACUCAGAAGGCUGGUAGGAAGCGUGUUGUGGUAUCCACGGAAGAGAAUGUCAUUGUUUUGCUUGAUCUUCACCAUGGGAAGAUUUUGGUGCAGCUAGCGGAUCUGCUUCACCCAUGGAUGCAAGAAUCUUCUAGCUCGAGCUGUAUCUUUUCAUUUUGAAAUGAUUUUGUAUUGGUGCUGAUUAGAUCAUUGACAUUUUUUUUGGCGUUCAAUUUAAUUUGUUAAUAUUUUGUGUGGUUUAGUGGAAUGUGAAUAUUUCUCUAUUUUGAUAUUCA
Lycium ferocissimum is the source of this 408-nucleotide long non-coding RNA. RefSeq lists it as uncharacterized. Lineage: Eukaryota; Viridiplantae; Streptophyta; Magnoliopsida; Solanales; Solanaceae. The record is from RefSeq and is a predicted model, not a curated record. The transcript has 3 exons.